Molecule: ribosomal RNA, 315 nt
Filed under: Triticum aestivum (bread wheat)
Lineage: Eukaryota; Viridiplantae; Streptophyta; Magnoliopsida; Poales; Poaceae
Description: partial small subunit ribosomal RNA
Source: RNAcentral
AUGAGUGCUUUAGGCCGUCCACAAGAUAUGUUUUCGGAUACUGCCAUACAAUUACAACCUAUCUUUGCUCAAUGGGUACAAAAUAUCCAUGCUACUUCGCCUGGCGUAAUAGCUCCUGGUGCAACAACAAGUACUAGCUUAACAUGGGGAGGCGGUGAGUUAGUAGCAGUAGGUGGCAAAGUGGCUUUGUUACCUAUUCCAUUAGGAACCGCAUAUUUUUUUAGUCCAUCACAUUCAUGCAUUUACCAUACAUGUGACUGUAUUAAUACUUUUGAAAGGUGUUUUAUUUGUUCAGAGUUCCCGUUUGAUACCUGA